Chelonia mydas (Green sea turtle) is the source of this 73-nucleotide non-coding RNA. The record is from Rfam. NCBI's taxonomy places the organism in Eukaryota, Metazoa, Chordata, Testudines, Cheloniidae.
GCCAAAGUAGCUCAGUGGGGAGAGCAUUAGACUGAAGCUCUGGAGAUCCCUGGUUUAAUCCCAGGCUUCAGUG